RNAcentral lists this ribosomal RNA (372 nucleotides) under uncultured bacterium. RNAcentral's name for it is "bacterial SSU rRNA". It matches the Rfam family "Bacterial small subunit ribosomal RNA", at positions 29 to 326 of the family's 1533-position model. The record is from RNAcentral.
AAUGAACGCUGGCGGCGUGCUUAAUACAUGCAAGUCGAGCGGUAAGGUUCUGCACUCAGUAUUUGACCAGAUAAGUCCGGCAAUUGCCGGAUACUGUCUGCAGCGAUAUCCUCUAGGCUAGAGGAUAUAGGUCGAAUGAUGAGUGUAGAAUACACGAGCGGCGGACGGCUGAGUAACGCGUAGGAACGUACCCCAAACUGAGGGAUAAGCACCAGAAAUGGUGUCUAAUACCGCAUGUGCUCCACGGAGUAAAGCUUUAUGCGGUUUGGGAACGGCCUGCGUAUGAUUAGCUUGUUGGUGAGGUAAUGGCUUACCAAGGCCACGAUCAUUAGCUGGUCUGAGAGGAUGAUCAGCCAGACUGGGACUGAGACA